This 230-nucleotide ribosomal RNA is filed under the name uncultured bacterium. RNAcentral describes it as "partial 16S ribosomal RNA". It matches the Rfam family "Bacterial small subunit ribosomal RNA", at positions 111 to 334 of the family's 1533-position model. The record is from RNAcentral.
UAACACGUGGGCAACCUGCCCUGUAGACGGGGAUAACACCGAGAAAUCGGUGCUAAUACCGGAUAACACGAAAUGUCGCAUGACGUUUCGUUGAAAGACGGCGUAAGCUGUCGCUACAGGAUGGGCCCGCGGCGCAUUAGCUAGUUGGUGAGGUAACGGCUCACCAAGGCGACGAUGCGUAGCCGACCUGAGAGGGUGAUCGGCCACACUGGGACUGAGACACGGCCCAG